RNAcentral lists this ribosomal RNA (460 nucleotides) under uncultured bacterium. Its description in RNAcentral is "partial 16S ribosomal RNA". It matches the Rfam family "Bacterial small subunit ribosomal RNA", at positions 338 to 795 of the family's 1533-position model. The record is from RNAcentral.
CCUACGGGCGGCAGCAGUGAGGAAUAUUGGACAAUGGGCGCAAGCCUGAACCAGCGAAGUCGCGUGAAGGAUUACUGCCCUACGGGUUGUAAACUUCUGUUAUAAAGGAAUAAAGUGAGGCACGUGUGCCUUUUUGUAUGUACUUUAUGAAUAAUGAUCGGCUAACUCCGUGCCAGCAGCCGCGGUAAUACGGAGGAUCCGAGCGUUAUCCGGAUUUAUUGGGUGUAAAGGGAGCGUAGAUGGGUUGUUAAGUCAGUUGUGAAAGGUUGCGGCUCAACCGUAACAUGGCAAUUGAUACUGGCAGCCUUGAGUAAAGUUGAGGUAGGCGGAAUUCGUGGUGUAGCGGUGAAAUGCUUAGAUAUCACGAAGAACUCUGAUUGCGAAGGCAGCUUACUAGACUGCAACUGACAUUGAGGCUCGAAGGUGUGGGUAUCAAAAGGGAUUAGAUACCCGAGUAGUC